AGUGAACGCUGGCGGUAGGCCUAACACAUGCAAGUCGAACGGCAGCACAGUAAGAGCUUGCUCUUACGGGUGGCGAGUGGCGGACGGGUGAGGAAUACAUCGGAAUCUACUUUUUCGUGGGGGAUAACGUAGGGAAACUUACGCUAAUACCGCAUACGACCUACGGGUGAAAGCAGGGGAUCUUCGGACCUUGCGCGAUUGAAUGAGCCGAUGUCGGAUUAGCUAGUUGGCGGGUUAAAGGCCCACCAAGGCGACGAUCCGUAGCUGGUCUGAGAGGAUGAUCAGCCACAAUGGAACUGAGAAACGGUCCAGAAGCUUAUGGGAGGCAGCAGUGGGGAAUAUUGGACAAUGGGCGCAAGCCUGCUCCGGCCAGACAGAAUGGGUGAAGUAGGCAUUCGGGUUGUAAAGUCAUUUUGUUGGGAAAGAAAAGCAGCAGAUUAAUACCCCGCUGUUCUGACGGUACCCAAAGAAUAAGCACCGGCUAACUUCGU
Molecule: ribosomal RNA, 491 nt
Filed under: uncultured bacterium
Lineage: Bacteria
Description: partial 16S ribosomal RNA
Rfam family: Bacterial small subunit ribosomal RNA
Source: RNAcentral